AUGGUCUCGGAACAGCUUCAUCAAUAUGAGUUGAAGCAAAGCAAGAAGAAGUUGAGGUUUGAAAUUGACUCAAAAGAGUUUGCGGAGAAGGAGAAGCAGAUGAGAGCUGCAGAUGGUGCCAAGGGUGGCAAAUUUGACAAGGUGAAGCAGCCUUCUUUGCAGAAGAAGAGGCUGAGUACUGUUGCUGAGGAAGGUGGUACACCUCGGUGGAGUUCGCGUGUUGCUGGAAUGAAGAAGAAUCUUUGCAAGAGAACUGCUGAAGCUGGUGGAAAGGAUGAUCCUUAG
Molecule: ribosomal RNA, 285 nt
Filed under: Triticum aestivum (bread wheat)
Lineage: Eukaryota; Viridiplantae; Streptophyta; Magnoliopsida; Poales; Poaceae
Description: partial small subunit ribosomal RNA
Source: RNAcentral